This 324-nucleotide unclassified non-coding RNA is filed under the name Hevea brasiliensis (rubber tree). The record is from RNAcentral. Lineage: Eukaryota; Viridiplantae; Streptophyta; Magnoliopsida; Malpighiales; Euphorbiaceae.
GUUGUGGUUAACAGCAAUGAUUCCAAAAGCAAGACCUCCGCCUUGUAAUCAAUCAGGACAGGUUUGUAAAUCUACAACGACAUCACAAUACAUGCUUUUGAUUUUCUCGUUUCUGCUCAUGUCAAUUGGUGCUGGAGGUAUAAGAUCGUCUUCUUCAGCCUUUGGUGCUAACCAGUUAGACAAGGGAGAUAGUAAUCCCAACAAGUAUACGAUGUUAGAAAGCUUCUUUACCUGGUAUUAUACUUUAUCCAUAGCUUCUGUCCUGAUUGCCCUUACGGGCAUCGUUUACCUACAAGACAGACUCGGGUGGAAAAUAGGUUUUGG